AUGAACAUGGCGCUCAUGCUGCAUUGGGUUUGGCCGAUCUGUUGGGGCGAUGGGGGGCUGUGGCUGCAACUGAUUGAGGCCAAGUACUUGCAGGGCCAACCCCUAGCUUGCUCUCAAUUGGUUGGGUCCCAAUUCUGGAAAUCGAUUCAGGCCAUUAAGGAAGAGAUCAUACUGGGUUUGCAGUACUUGGUUGGAAAUGGGUCUGGGACCCAGUUU
RNAcentral lists this ribosomal RNA (216 nucleotides) under Triticum aestivum (bread wheat). Its description in RNAcentral is "partial small subunit ribosomal RNA". Lineage: Eukaryota; Viridiplantae; Streptophyta; Magnoliopsida; Poales; Poaceae. The record is from RNAcentral.